AGUGAACGCUGGCGGUAGGCCUAACACAUGCAAGUCGAACGGCAGCACAGUAAGAGCUUGCUCUUACGGGUGGCGAGUGGCGGACGGGUGAGGAAUACAUCGGAAUCUACUUUUUCGUGGGGGAUAACGUAGGGAAACUUACGCUAAUACCGCAUACGACCUACGGGUGAAAGCAGGGGAUCUUCGGACCUUGCGCGAUUGAAUGAGCCGAUGUCGGAUUAGCUAGUUGGCGGGGUAAAGGCCCACCAAGGCGACGAUCCGUAGCUGGUCUGAGAGGAUGAUCAGCCACACUGGAACUGAGACACGGUCCAGACUCCUACGGGAGGCAGCAGUAGGGAAUAUUGGGCAAUGGGCGCAAGCCUGAUCCAGCCAUACCGCGUGGGUGAAGAAGGCCUUCGGGUUGUAAAGCCCUUUUGUUGGGAAAGAAAAGCAGCAGAUUAAUACCCCGCUGUUCUGACGGUACCCAAAGAAUAAGCACCGGCUAACUUCGUG
This 492-nucleotide ribosomal RNA is filed under the name uncultured bacterium. RNAcentral describes it as "partial 16S ribosomal RNA". It matches the Rfam family "Bacterial small subunit ribosomal RNA", at positions 29 to 507 of the family's 1533-position model. The record is from RNAcentral.